AACGCACAUUGCGCCCCUUGGUAUUCCGGGGGGCACACCUGUUCGAGCGUCAUUACACCAAUCAAGCCUUGCUUGGUAUUGGGUCUAGUCCCUAUUUUUAGGGACUGACUUUAAAAUCUUUGGCGGCGUAGUCCGGCUUCAGGCGUAGCAGAAAUUACUCGUCUAUGGGGUCCAGAUUAUGUCUUGUCCAUAAAUUUUUUAAUUUUUCAAAGGUUGACCUCGGAUCAGGUGGGGAUACCCGCUGAACUUAA
RNAcentral lists this unclassified non-coding RNA (251 nucleotides) under uncultured fungus. RNAcentral describes it as "partial contains 5.8S ribosomal RNA, internal transcribed spacer 2, and large subunit ribosomal RNA". Lineage: Eukaryota; Fungi. The record is from RNAcentral.